GAUGAAGAACGUAGCGAAAUGCGAUAAGUAAUGUGAAUUGCAGAAUUCAGUGAAUCAUCGAAUCUUUGAACGCACAUUGCGCCCAUUAGCAUUCUAGUGGGCAUGCCUGUUCGAGCGUCAUUUCAACCCUUAAGCCCUGUUGCUUAGCGUUGGGAGCCUACAGUACUGUAGCUCCCCAAAGUUAGUGGCGGAGUCGGUUUCACACUCUAGACGUAGUAAUUUUUUCUCGUCUGUAGUUGAGCCGGUCCCCUGCCGUAAAACACCCAAUUUAUCAGGUUGACCUCGGAUCAGGUAGGAAUACCCGCUGAACUUAAGCAUAUCAAUAAGCGGAGGA
This 334-nucleotide unclassified non-coding RNA is filed under the name soil metagenome. Its description in RNAcentral is "partial contains 5.8S ribosomal RNA, internal transcribed spacer 2, and large subunit ribosomal RNA". The stretch from base 1 to 120 matches the Rfam family "5.8S ribosomal RNA", at positions 35 to 154 of the family's 154-position model. The record is from RNAcentral.